GGGCAGUCAUCGCCGAGUCCCCGUCAGGCGCGAGCCUGGGGAGCCGGGGACCCACCGCAGUCCCUGGGGUGAAUCGGAGGCCCGUGCCGCGAACCGGCGCGGGGAUCCGUAGGAGACCUUCCUGCUCCGAACCCGUCAGCUAACCCGGUAGGCGAGAAGGAAGGAAAG
Molecule: non-coding RNA, 168 nt
Organism: Streptomyces albus subsp. albus
Lineage: Bacteria; Bacillati; Actinomycetota; Actinomycetes; Kitasatosporales; Streptomycetaceae
Source: Rfam